This 497-nucleotide ribosomal RNA is filed under the name uncultured bacterium. RNAcentral describes it as "partial 16S ribosomal RNA". It matches the Rfam family "Bacterial small subunit ribosomal RNA", at positions 28 to 507 of the family's 1533-position model. The record is from RNAcentral.
GAUGAACGCUGGCGGCGUGCCUAAUACAUGCAAGUCGAGCGAACGGACGAGAAGCUUGCUACUCUGAUGUUAGCGGCGUACGUGUGAGUAACACGUGGAUAACCUACCUAUAAGACUGGGAUAACUUCGUGAAACCGUAGCUAAUACCGUAUUAUAUUUUCAACCGCAUGGUUCAAAAGUUACAGACGGUCUUGCUGUCACUUCUAGCUGUAUCCGCGCUGCAUUAGCUAGUUGGUAAGGUAACGGCUUACCAAGGCAACGAUGCAUAGCCGACCUGAGAGGGUGAUGGGCCACAAUGGGACUGAGAGACGGUCCAGAGUCCUACGGGAGGCAGAAGUAGGGAAGCGUGCGAAAUGGGCGAAAGACUGAAGGAGCAACGCAGGGUGAGUGAUGAAGGGCUUCGGAUCGGAAAACUCUGUUAUUAGGGAAGAACAUAUGUGUAAGUAACUGUGCACAUCGUGACGGUACCUAAUCAGAAAGCCACGGCUAACUACGUG